This 147-nucleotide transfer RNA is filed under the name Gluconacetobacter asukensis. Its description in RNAcentral is "tRNA-Ser". Lineage: Bacteria; Pseudomonadati; Pseudomonadota; Alphaproteobacteria; Acetobacterales; Acetobacteraceae. The record is from RNAcentral.
GCGGGCACCUCGAAUGGAGAUUGGGCACCUUCUGGGCAGAACUGAAAAUGACUCCAUGUAAGUUAUUGUGAUAUAUAUGUAAAUAUCAGUAUCUAUACAACCUUGCCAAGGUUGGGGUCGUGGGUUCGAAUCCCAUCGCCCGCUCCA